Molecule: ribosomal RNA, 448 nt
Filed under: uncultured bacterium
Lineage: Bacteria
Description: partial 16S ribosomal RNA
Rfam family: Bacterial small subunit ribosomal RNA
Source: RNAcentral
AACGAACGCUGGCGGCAUGCCUAACACAUGCAAGUCGAACGAGAUCUUCGGGUCUAGUGGCGCACGGGUGCGUAACGCGUGGGAAUCUGCCCUUUGGUUCGGAAUAACAGUUGGAAACGACUGCUAAUACCGGAUGAUGACGAAAGUCCAAAGACUUAUCGCCAGAGGAUGAGCCCGCGUAGGAUUAGCUAGUUGGUGUGUAAAGGCGCACCAAGGCGACGAUCCUUAGCUGGUCUGAGAGGAUGAUCAGCCACACUGGGACUGAGACACGGCCCAGACUCCUACGGGAGGCAGCAGUGGGGAAUAUUGGACAAUGGGCGAAAGCCUGAUCCAGCAAUGCCGCGUGAGUGAUGAAGGCCUUAGGGUUGUAAAGCUCUUUUACCCGGGAUGAUAAUGACAGUACCGGGAGAAUAAGCUCCGGCUAACUACGUGCCAGCCGCCGCGGUAA